CAGUAGCCGCGGUAAUACGUAGGGUGCAAGCGUUAAUCGGAAUUACUGGGCGUAAAGCGUGCGCAGGCGGUUUGUUAAGACAGAUGUGAAAUCCCCGGGCUCAACCUGGGAACUGCAUUUGUGACUGGCAAGCUAGAGUCUGGCAGAGGGGGGUGGAAUUCCGCGUGUAGCAGUGAAAUGCGUAGAUAUGCGGAGGAACACCGAUGGCGAAGGCAGCCCCCUGGGCCAACACUGACGCUCAUGCACGAAAGCGUGGGGAGCAAACAGGAUUAGAUACCCCGGUAGUCCCUGUCUCUUAUAC
This 301-nucleotide ribosomal RNA is filed under the name uncultured bacterium. Its description in RNAcentral is "partial 16S ribosomal RNA". It matches the Rfam family "Bacterial small subunit ribosomal RNA", at positions 509 to 807 of the family's 1533-position model. The record is from RNAcentral.